CCCACCAUGCCCCUGGUACCCCUGGGGCAGCUCAUCCCCACCCCAGGCCCUGAGCAGGACAACUGCAGGAGCCUCUGGGAGAUUCAGGUCCAAAACCACAAUGGAACAUGGAAACCCAUGGGCAGGGCUGGGAAGGGUCCGAGUGUCCAUCCUGGGGGGUGAUGGCAGCCAGCACAGCGGUGAAACGGGCACAGGUGGCUCUGCUCACCCCGUGGCUCCUGGGGACAGGCACACGUUCCGCUUCUCCAGGCUCGGGCUGGCCUGGAUGUCCUUAAUUGCCCAAAGGUCGCUGUCCCCGAGCCCGGGGCCACGUGUCGGAGGGACUGCGGGCAGGAACCUGACAUGGACACAAGUCAUUCGGGAUCAACGCUGGGGGUCAGGAAAUUACAAUGGACACGAACCUAAAUACGCUGCACGUCCCCCCAGGUAAUCAGGGGCCGGGCCAGAUUCCAGCUGACAGCUUAAAUGCCUUAAUUCCUCAGCCGCUGUGGUUCGAGGGGGUCCCGUGUGCCGUGGGCUUCUCUCAAAUGGUCUCUGAGCUGGAGAUUUGUCUGUAAUUGGAGGCGUGUUGCAUUCCCCUGAAAGUAGCCAGGUCCCGCUGGAGGGGGGCUGCGGGAAGGCAGCAAUUUCCCUUAUGGAAUUAUUUACCUGAUUAGAGAGUUUAUUUUAUCAAAAUUGCUUCAGAAUGGGGCUGCUCAGUGUGUCCAGCGCAGGGAGCUCCCCGGUGGUGCUGGCGGCCUGGAGACAGGCCCCCGAAGGCGAGUGUGGGAGUGCUGGAUUGCUCACAUUAGCACAAAAAUGAUUCUUUUAAAGCAACGCCAGCUCAUUUACAUGUGUAUUGCGCCUGCCUCCACGGGUGCUGAGGUCAAUUGAAACUCAAGAAAAGAGGAGAAAUUUAUGCAAAACUGUUGAUUGCAUUUGUAUGUAAUGAAAUCAUCCAAUAUUCAUCUGACUAUAGACUCUAAUCUGAAAGGAGAAGUGAAGGACAUAAGAGUCACUGGAAAGCAAUAAUGAGCUUCUGUAGUGAUUAAAAAAGCACUUGAGCUUUCUGAAAAUCCAGCCAGAAAUCGUGUCUAAUCAACACGGAAUAUAGGAGGCAGAGAUUACAUUGAUACAUUUUGCAAAGCUCACUGUUGAAAAUGUAUGCGCGCUGUAAACUCUGACAUGCCAUCCAGGGUCUGUUGGAUACAAAUCCGGGCGGCACAAUCAGCGCCCGGCUCGUCCCUGGCACAAAGCAAUCUUGGUGUCUCUGCUCGAUGACUCACAAGGAGCGCAAUCACAUCUAUUUUGAAGAGCAAUGUUGUUUUUUAACUAUGUCGAGAGCUUCCAGCUUCCUUGGAGUUUUUCCUUCCCGUUGCCUCUGUUUGGCGUGUCCCUGCGGCCACGGGGCUCGCUCCAGGAGCCUGGUGCCUGCCCUGGUGCUGUCCAGCUGCUUGGAGCAUUGGAACCUCCUGCUGGGGCUAAGAGUGGCUUUGGGCAGCCUGGGAAGGGCACAGCUCUGUCCUGAGCAGGGAUGUGCACAGUGCAUUCCUCGUGUUGGGAGUGUGACCCCUUGGGGACCUCCAGGCCACAGCAGUGCCCACCAGGUGGAACCUGCCAGGCCCCCAGGCUGGCAGGAGCUGUUGGGAGAGGGGUCCCUGCGAGGGCAGAGGGGUGUGGACAGCCCAGGGCACAGCAGAGGGUCUGGCCAGGGCCCUCCCUCACCCUCUGCCCUGCCAAGGCUGCCAUUUGGGGCUGAUGUGGCAUCACUGACACUGAGCCACAUUAAAGCAGCCCAGCCACUUUCUGGCCCGCUCCCUUCCCCUCCUGGGUUAUUUGGCACAGCUGGAGCUCCCUUCCCACCCGCCAACAGCAUCAGCUGCAGCUUCUUAUCAGCUCUGGGUGCAAUCCAGGCUGGAACCAAGUGAGAGGCUCCUGCUGGUGCCAGUGGAGGAGUGUUUGGAGCAGGCAGACCUUGUGCUGCAGCUCCUGAUGUGGAGCAGCAGGUGAUUUGUGCUGCAAAGGGAAAGUGGGACCUCUCCAGGGCCGCCCUGUGAGCCAGCCGGUGCUCACCAUGACCAGGAUUUCCCAUCAGGAUGAUAUGAACACCUGGGUUGACAAGAGGAUGCUGCUGGACAUGGUAAGCCACAGGUAACUGAGCCCAGGAGAACUUCCAGUGAACCUUCCCCGUGAUGUGGGGCCAGUUACUGCUGUAGUGUCACAAAAAAAUGUUCAACUUUCAAUCCCAAACUAAAAACUGCUGAUGAGGGGGUCUGGCCAUCAAAAAGGCUCAGGAAUGGCUGAUGUGUCCCCUCAGCUCAGAUAAUGCUGCAGCACCUACAGCUGACCACUGUCAACUGCUAGUGCUUAACAAUAAUAUUUUAAUUAUUUUCAUAGCUCUUGGAGUUUCCAGGCUGCCUGGAGAAGGAGAAACCCCAGUGCUCUCCCUGAGACUCACUAGCAGGAGAAUGUGUGGGGGUGAUACUGCAAAAUAAACAUUUCACAGGAGUAUUUAGAAAUUGGCUGCAGCAGCCUGUGUCACCAAAACCCUGGGGCCAGGACUCUUUCCACAGAGAGCUCAGGAAAUGUAGGGUGAGAGCCCCUGGGUGUGGGUUACGGGGGGCUCUGGGGGCUCGGGGGCACCCUCAGCCCCUGCCCACAGCCAGGUCUCUGGCAGUCAUCCCCAUCUCACAGAGCCAGAGGGAAGAGGUUUCCCAGAACCAGUUAGGACUUACAGGAAUUCAGGAUUGCCAGGAAAGCUGGCAGACCCAGAGAGCAGCCCGGGCACCCCAGUCCCCGCCCUGCCAAGGGAGUUGGCCAGGAAUGUCACAAGGAAUCUCAGAGUACCCUGAGCUGGAAGAGUCCAACUCCUGGCCCUGCACAGGACAG
Cyanistes caeruleus (blue tit) is the source of this 2868-nucleotide long non-coding RNA. RefSeq lists it as uncharacterized. NCBI's taxonomy places the organism in Eukaryota, Metazoa, Chordata, Aves, Passeriformes, Paridae. The record is from RefSeq and is a predicted model, not a curated record.